Oryza sativa Japonica Group (Japanese rice) is the source of this 1699-nucleotide non-coding RNA. The record is from RefSeq and is a predicted model, not a curated record. NCBI's taxonomy places the organism in Eukaryota, Viridiplantae, Streptophyta, Magnoliopsida, Poales, Poaceae.
GGUAGAUCUGUUGAUGAUUUGGGGAUAUAAUGGUGUAGCCCCUGAUUUUUUGUUACAACAUGACAGAAAUUCAGUAUUAUUGGAUGGAUUCACGCAAUGCGCUGCAAUUUGUGCAGAAAAGGCAGUUUUUUUGUUGUGUAUGAUAGAUCAAGUUUAUUGGAUCAGCUUCUCUUCGGAACUCCCCAUUCGAGUUGUUGUGUUUUGGUAUGUGGGAAGUAUAUACGCGAUUUUGCUCCAAGUUUGUCUUGAUAGAAUUUAUCUGCGCUGGCACACUUGAUUCGGCACAAAGUCCACAACACUGUGCCUCCGCCGACACCGCAGCCAGAUCGACCAGUCAAGCAUCCACUGUGCCGAUGUAAUCCCCAGUCAAGCCAGAUUGAUGGGCAGAUCCGAUGCACCGGCCAGAAGAACGGGCUGCUCAGUUGUAGGAUUGGUUUCGCCCAAAACUGAAGUGAAAAGAAUUUGUUGGUGAAAAAAGAAGUUCAGAAUCACAGGUUAUGUCUCUUGAUUGCAAGACAAACUGAUUAACUGUGCUUGCAAGGGUGUUUGUAGAAACGGCUUAACCACUAUUUCUUCCCAAUCCUGGUAACAAGCAACAGACACAAGGUAAUAACCUUUGGUGCCAGAUGCUGCAUCACACUCCUGAGUGAGCAGCAAAUGUUUGACAAAAUGCUUCUUAGGUACUGUUACUACUCUUGCAUGCUAUUUGAUUCUUUUUUUCCAGGCCCAGUUGGCAGCUAAACUAGUAUUGUUUACAAGUCAAAGAUAUAUAUAUUGCAGAGAAGAUCUUUGGUAUGUGUUUGGCCUUUUAUGUUAAGCGAUAAAUGACAUGCAAAACAUAAAUUUCAGGUUUGUCAUUACUCAAAUACCCAUUGACUGUAUGCGUUGUUUCAAGUUGCAGAACCAUACCAUUGUCCUUUACAGUAUAUCUAAUCAUACUUUUUUUUUGUCCAUUCAUACUCCAUACAAACUAUUCUCAAUUCUCAACUACCAAUGUCUUCAUAUGGAUGAUCUUCAGUUGAUGAUCUUGCUAAUUUAAGUGUCGUGACAUUAUCAGGCUCUAAGGAAGGACAUGGCGAUCUGCGAGAGCAGCAUUGAUAUUAUCAAGGUAACAGCGGCCAGUGUAGUGCCGGUUAAUCUUGUAUGAAUACAGUCUUUAUAUAUGCACACUGCCGAUGUAGUACUAUGUCUCUAUGCAUGCUUGUAACAAUGCCUAAAAGACCAGGGAGAGGCUAUGCAGAGGGAUUGGGGAAUGGGGACUGCCAAUUUUCUACAUUGAUAAGUUUAGUGUUUCCCCUGGAAGGGAUAUGGCAGGGAUAUUCACAAAGUGCAGAAUACGUGAUUCAGUUGGAGAAAGGCAACACAUGAGGAAGAUGGUUUGCAUAAUAAAUUAUCUUAGGUUAAACUAAUGUUUUUUUCUGAUCUGGUGUUUUGUACCCUCAUAACCAUCUAGCUGUUGUAAUUCAUCAAGUACCCAUGUUAAAGUGGUUGUACCCUAUAGCAACCUAGCAGGGCUUUACAUUUUGUUCUGUGCAAAAGUUGGCAUGGAGUAAGAAACAGGGUUAUGUUUACAAUUUUCAAAUAAAUUAUUCCUUACCAAGGCAUUCCCUUCAGUUUUGUUGCCCACAUGGCACAUAGGGAACAGUUAGAAAUUGUAAGAAAUUUUAUACUGAACAUGAGGAAAUUGUAUUUCUCUUAA